RNAcentral lists this transfer RNA (82 nucleotides) under Staphylococcus xylosus. RNAcentral's name for it is "tRNA-Leu". The record is from RNAcentral. Lineage: Bacteria; Bacillati; Bacillota; Bacilli; Caryophanales; Staphylococcaceae.
GCGGCCGUGGCGGAACGGCAGACGCGCUAGGUUGAGGGCCUAGUGGGAGUAUUCCCGUGGAGGUUCAAACUUCUCGGCCGCA